AACGCGAAGAACCUUACCAAGGCUUGACAUACACCGGAAUCACUCAGAGAUGGGUGCGUCUUCGGACUGGUGUACAGGUGGUGCAUGGUUGUCGUCAGCUCGUGUCGUGAGAUGUUGGGUUAAGUCCCGCAACGAGCGCAACCCUCGUCCUAUGUUGCCAGCGGGUUAUGCCGGGGACUCAUGGGAGACUGCCGGGGUCAACUCGGAGGAAGGUGGGGAUGACGUCAAAUCAUCAUGCCCCUUAUGUCUUGGGCUUCACGCAUGCUACAAUGGCCGGUACAAAGGGCUGCGAUACCGCAAGGUGGAGCGAAUCCCAAAAAGCCGGUCUCAGUUCGGAUUGGGGUCUGCAACUCGACCCCAUGAAGUCGGAGUCGCUAGUAAUCGCAGAUCAGCAACGCUGCGGUGAAUACGUUCCCGGGCCUUGUACACACCGCUACAGU
This 440-nucleotide ribosomal RNA is filed under the name uncultured bacterium. RNAcentral describes it as "bacterial SSU rRNA". It matches the Rfam family "Bacterial small subunit ribosomal RNA", at positions 958 to 1401 of the family's 1533-position model. The record is from RNAcentral.